GCGGAUGUAGCUCAGUGGAAGAGCGCCACGUUGCCAUCGUGGAGGUCACGGGUUCGACCCCCGUCAUCCGCU
RNAcentral lists this transfer RNA (72 nucleotides) under Sandaracinus sp. RNAcentral describes it as "tRNA-Gly". It matches the Rfam family "tRNA". Rfam says of the family: Transfer RNA (tRNA) molecules are approximately 80 nucleotides in length. Their secondary structure includes four short double-helical elements and three loops (D, anti-codon, and T loops). RNAcentral also lists the same sequence under 1 other name. The record is from RNAcentral. Lineage: Bacteria; Pseudomonadati; Myxococcota; Polyangiales; Sandaracinaceae.